Small nucleolar RNA from Gossypium raimondii (Peruvian cotton), 107 nucleotides. It matches the Rfam family "Plant small nucleolar RNA R71". Rfam says of the family: R71 is a member of the C/D box family of snoRNAs containing the C (UGAUGA) and D (CUGA) box motifs. The record is from Rfam. Lineage: Eukaryota; Viridiplantae; Streptophyta; Magnoliopsida; Malvales; Malvaceae.
AAACCGUGCAUUAGGCAUUUUCUAAUUAGUUCCUUGAAACGCUCACAUGCUUCAUAUAAUGUUUCAUCUUCUAGUUGUCUAAACGAUGUAAUGUCAUUCCUAAGCUU